UACGUAGGUGGCGAGCGUUGUCCGGAUUUACUGGGCGUAAAGGAUGCGUAGGUGGAAAUUUAAGUGGGAUGUGAAAUCCCCGGGCUCAACCCGGGAACUGCAUUCCAAACUGGAUUUCUUGAGUACAGGAGAGGAAAGCGGAAUUCCUAGUGUAGCGGUGAAAUGCGUAGAUAUUAGGAGGAACACCAGUGGCGAAGGCGGCUUUCUGGACUGUAACUGACACUGAGGCAUGAAAGCGUGGGCAGCAAACAGGAUUAGAUACCCCCGUAGUCCCUGAG
RNAcentral lists this ribosomal RNA (278 nucleotides) under uncultured prokaryote. Its description in RNAcentral is "partial 16S ribosomal RNA". It matches the Rfam family "Bacterial small subunit ribosomal RNA", at positions 524 to 801 of the family's 1533-position model. The record is from RNAcentral.